GAACCCUCACGACCUUUUACGGUCAACGGAUUUUAAGUCCGUAGCGUCUACC
RNAcentral lists this transfer RNA (52 nucleotides) under Mastigocladus sp. NTDV08. RNAcentral's name for it is "tRNA-Leu". The record is from RNAcentral. Lineage: Bacteria; Bacillati; Cyanobacteriota; Cyanophyceae; Nostocales; Hapalosiphonaceae.